Molecule: ribosomal RNA, 426 nt
Filed under: uncultured bacterium
Lineage: Bacteria
Description: partial 16S ribosomal RNA
Rfam family: Bacterial small subunit ribosomal RNA
Source: RNAcentral
GUGAGGAAUUUUCCGCAAUGGGCGAAAGCCUGACGGAGCAAUGCCGCGUGAAGGAUGAAGGCCUAUGGGUUGUAAACUUCUUUUCUCAGAAAAGAAUUAUGACGGUAUCUGAGGAAUAAGCAUCGGCUAACUCUGUGCCAGCAGCCGCGGUAAGACAGAGGAUGCAAGCGUUAUCCGGAAUGAUUGGGCGUAAAGCGUCUGUAGGUUGUUUAAAAAGUAUUCUGUCAAAGAUUAGGGCUUAACCCUAGAUAGGCAGAAUAAACUUUUAAGCUGGAGGUUGGUAGAGGCAGAGGGAAUUCCCUGUGGAGCGGUGAAAUGCGUAGAUAUCGGUAGGAACACCAAAGGCGAAGGCACUCUGCUGGGCCAAUACUAACACUGAGAGACGAAAGCGAGGGGAGCAAAUGGGAUUAGAAACCCUGGUAGUCC